UACAGAGGGUGCGAGCGUUGUCCGGAAUCACUGGGCGUAAAGGGUGAGUAGGUGGCCUGUUAAGCGUGUGGUGAAAGCCUGGGGCUCAACCCCAGGUCUGCCGUGCGAACUGACAGGCUUGAGCAGAGUAGAGGCGAGUGGAAUUUCGGGUGUAGCGGUGGAAUGCGUAGAUAUCCGAAAGAACGCCGGUGGCGAAGGCGACUCGCUGGGCUCUUGCUGACACUGAAUCACGACAGCGUGGGGAGCAAACAGG
This 253-nucleotide ribosomal RNA is filed under the name uncultured bacterium. Its description in RNAcentral is "partial 16S ribosomal RNA". It matches the Rfam family "Bacterial small subunit ribosomal RNA", at positions 524 to 776 of the family's 1533-position model. The record is from RNAcentral.